AUCAAUGCAAAGAUACAACGUUAGUGUAGUGAUCAUUAAACAAAGGUCCACAGGCAGCAAAUAUAAACAUAAUUUAUUGCCCAUAAGUGAAGCAUUAUUGAAUACUCCAUUCAAGAGAUGGAUCACACACAUUAUGAUUCUCUCAACAAAACAAUAGGAUAUAAUCAGAAAGAAUGAACUUGUUGCAUCAACAUAGAAUUCAAAAUUAGUCAAACAGUGCAUUUCUUCAUGGCAUGCAACACAAAGUUCAUCCUCGGUAAAAGAAAGCGCAUAAAACAAUCAUGUUUCCAUUGACUAAUAAUGCAAUCGCUUCAGUGUUAUCGGUUUUCAUCAAACAUUCUCCCGUCUUCCAUCCAAUAUCCCUACUAUUGCAGGAAGUGUCAGUAACCUGCAGAAAAAUACAAUCUCUUUAACAAUAAGAAAGAAGUGGCAAGGUCAACUUUGCAUUAUACAUGCAAAUAUAAGUAAACUGUUAAAGUGAUAAUAAAUGAAGGCCCUGAAAUAAAGUAAAUAGCGUAGCGACAAUGUCAAUUACCAAAGAAAAAAGGUAAAAGGCAAAAUUAAAAGCUGGCAAAGUAAAGGUAUGGUUUUAAUCUACUCCCUCGCCUAAUAUACGACCUUUUAGCGAUUUCACUAUUGACUACAAACAUAUAUACUAUAAUGAGUGAAUAUAGUCAUAUACACACUAAACUGUGUCUAGAUAUAUACGAAUCAAGAAAAAGCUAAAAGAUCUUAUAUUAGGGAACAAAGGGAGUAGUAUGCGGCACCAACACAGAUGUGGACCAAUUGGACAGGGAGGUAGUUGAAUUAUUAUAAAUGCUAAUGCGCAGUGGUGGUACCUCUCUAUACUUGGCAGACACGUAUCUAGCAUGCCGGGUUUUGCAUGAUCUGUUAUUUCAUUUUCAUAGGUUUCAAUACUAAUCGGAGAAAAGAAAAGUUCCUCCGUGCUACUCUGUUUGACUCACAAAAUAGACUGGCAAAGAUACUACUCAAGGUUUUUCUUUUUUUCGAGAAAUAACCACUCCGCUUUUGACACGGCAAAAUCAAAUGUGGAACUCUUUCAACAUUAGCAUAGUUGGUACCUUAGCUGAGGGUCUUGUGAUGUUGCCAUGUUUUGUUUUAAGCUGAAUCUUUCGGCUUCAAAGUAAUUAGUUAGUGCUCAAAUAGUCAGCAUUAAUCAAAGGUGUAAACAGACUGUAAAGUAAACAAGUUGCAAUGACCUUCUUCAUCACUUAUGUAGAUUGGAUUACUGAUGCCUUUCCCUAUCAUACUGUAACAUGUACUAAAGGUCUGGAAAUGGCGUGCACACAGGAAGCUAUAUUGUGCCCGAAACUACAGUUUCCGGAAUUUGCAUACAGGUUCCAUUACUCUGUUGGGAAGCAUAAACCAUUGAUCUAUACAGUAAAUUGCUUUUUCUUGAAUUUGCAUAUAAGCUUGGGUUUGUAGUAACCAAACAAUACUCAGUG
Molecule: long non-coding RNA, 1466 nt
Filed under: Triticum aestivum (bread wheat)
Lineage: Eukaryota; Viridiplantae; Streptophyta; Magnoliopsida; Poales; Poaceae
Description: long non-coding RNA (TAES_LNC001080)
Source: RNAcentral